RNAcentral lists this long non-coding RNA (811 nucleotides) under Equus caballus (horse). Its description in RNAcentral is "lncRNA (ENSECAG00000046743.1)". Lineage: Eukaryota; Metazoa; Chordata; Mammalia; Perissodactyla; Equidae. The record is from RNAcentral.
CACAUACACAUACAGUGUUCUGGAAAAGCAGCCGUGAAGUGUUACUAGAACUGAGGCCUCUUCUGGGAUGUUGCUAAGGAAAGUUCACAAUCUCGGGCUGCUAAUUAAAAUUACUUCUACUUAUUGCGCAUAAAUUAGGUCCUAAUAAGCUGCAGUUGGAUACAAAGAAAACAGCACUGACAGCAGAGAGAAAAUCAAAAUGGAAUCUUUCAUGUAAUUAGCAUACACAGUCCACACAGGGCACACAGAAGACGGGUGAGCGGUGGAGAGCGAAGUCUUUGCAGGCAUUGAAAGACAAGCCCCGCAGGCUUUUGAGCUCUGACCAGUCCAGAAGUGAAGGACAAGUGCCCAGGAGAGAUUAUGAUUUCAAGCCAGAAUGAUCUAGUGAGAGAGAGAGAGAGAUGCAGGAAGUCUGAAUAUAUCCAUGUGUUGGAUUUUCAAAAACGUCAGAGGCCCAGUGGGACUUCACGGAGAAGGCAAAUUCCGGGUUGCCAGUUCUUGGAAGUUGUCCUGUUCACCAGCAAGCCAGAGGGGAAACUUACUGGGCCGCCCCUCGAUGCCUUCCAGCACACGCCGGCCUCCUCGGAGGCGCCAAGGGUGUCCCGCCAGACCGCCUGCUGCGUGACAGGGAGGAGGGGCCAUCUGCCGCUUGCACAUCUGAGCAUUACAGCGUUUGAAUGAGGGCACGAUGACUUCCACAAACGCCGUGAAUGCUUCUUGUGUGAAGCAGCUGCUUUCACUUUGUUGAAAGGAAACCGUUUUUCAGCGUUCCAAUGUACUCGGCCAGAUUUUCGCCGGGAGGAUGAUGAGC